UUGACCUCGGAUCAGGUAGGAUACCCGCUGAAC
Molecule: ribosomal RNA, 33 nt
Filed under: Pestalotiopsis briosiana
Lineage: Eukaryota; Fungi; Ascomycota; Sordariomycetes; Amphisphaeriales; Sporocadaceae
Description: partial 28S ribosomal RNA
Source: RNAcentral